GGAGAAAGGAGAGGUACCCUGUUGUUAUUCAGUUAAGCUGACUUCCUGAGGACUCCAUUUCAGGUUUUCUUGGACAAAGAUAUUGGAGCUCAUUUUACAGAUAAGGAAACUGAGGCAAACAACUGGGCUAAGUGAUUUGCCCAGGGCCACCCAGAUAAGCAUGUGCAUACACUCUCAGCCUACUCCCACUGCAAGUCUUUACCUCACAAGGUGAUGAAUAAUAGAAAGGUUGUAACUGCAUAGAAGAAUCUUCCAUUUGGCUGGGGAGCUGGAGCUGCAGAGACAGAAACUGAUCUAUGUUUCUGACCCUACUUCUUGUUAGUUAUGUCUUUUUCACUUCAGAUGCUGAUCAUCUUCCAAAUGCUGAGCUAGCUCUGGCAAUGUAU
This 386-nucleotide long non-coding RNA is filed under the name Monodelphis domestica (gray short-tailed opossum). RNAcentral describes it as "lncRNA (ENSMODG00000030958.2)". The record is from RNAcentral. Lineage: Eukaryota; Metazoa; Chordata; Mammalia; Didelphimorphia; Didelphidae.